This 530-nucleotide ribosomal RNA is filed under the name Botryosphaeria sinensis. RNAcentral's name for it is "partial small subunit ribosomal RNA". The stretch from base 1 to 183 matches the Rfam family "Bacterial small subunit ribosomal RNA", at positions 717 to 870 of the family's 1533-position model. The record is from RNAcentral. Lineage: Eukaryota; Fungi; Ascomycota; Dothideomycetes; Botryosphaeriales; Botryosphaeriaceae.
CGAGGCAAUCCUCUAUGUAAAAACUGACGUUGAGGGACGAAGGCUUGGGUAGCGAAUAGGAUUAGAUACCCUAGUAGUCCAGGCAGACAAUUAUGAAUGUCAUAGAUUAGAAAGCAAAGAAGAAAGUGGGUUUGCUAUAAAGAUUGUGUUAUUUAAGAGUCUUGUUAUUAAAUUAUACAGUCCCUACUUAACUAGUUCAAAUAUAACUCUUAAACUCCCUUAAGCGAGAAUCUACCCUCCUCCUCUUUAUGGGGAGGGGAGAGACCUCUCCUCCUUUUUUAUCAGGAGGGGAGGGAGGCUUCCCCUUUAGUAGGAGGAGGGUGCAGAAAGGGAAUAUAAGGAAGGUAUUUGCCUCUUGGAUUAUUCCCUCUUUUAAUAAACCUUCCGAGGUUAGUUAUCUUUCUCUUGUUCCGUACACAAGUGGAAAUGAAUAUAGCAUAUGACAUUGUGUAUUAAAAAGGAUCCGGGUAAAGGUUUUCUUCUUUACCUUCCCUUAUUUAUCUAUAAAUGAAAGUGUAAGCAUUCCACCU